UUAAGCGACUAAGCGUACACGGUGGAUGCCCUGGCAGUCAGAGGCGAUGAAGGACGUGCUAAUCUGCGAUAAGCGUCGGUAAGGUGAUAUGAACCGUUAUAACCGGCGAUUUCCGAAUGGGGAAACCCAGUGUGUUUCGACACACUAUCAUUAACUGAAUCCAUAGGUUAAUGAGGCGAACCGGGGGAACUGAAACAUCUAAGUACCCCGAGGAAAAGAAAUCAACCGAGAUUCCCCCAGUAGCGGCGAGCGAACGGGGAGCAGCCCAGAGCCUGAAUCAGUGUGUGUGUUAGUGGAAGCGUCUGGAAAGGCGCGCGAUACAGGGUGACAGCCCCGUACACAAAAAUGCACAUGCUGUGAGCUCGAUGAGUAGGGCGGGACACGUGGUAUCCUGUCUGAAUAUGGGGGGACCAUCCUCCAAGGCUAAAUACUCCUGACUGACCGAUAGUGAACCAGUACCGUGAGGGAAAGGCGAAAAGAACCCCGGCGAGGGGAGUGAAAAAGAACCUGAAACCGUGUACGUACAAGCAGUGGGAGCACGCUUAGGCGUGUGACUGCGUACCUUUUGUAUAAUGGGUCAGCGACUUAUAUUCUGUAGCAAGGUUAACCGAAUAGGGGAGCCGAAGGGAAACCGAGUCUUAACUGGGCGUUAAGUUGCAGGGUAUAGACCCGAAACCCGGUGAUCUAGCCAUGGGCAGGUUGAAGGUUGGGUAACACUAACUGGAGGACCGAACCGACUAAUGUUGAAAAAUUAGCGGAUGACUUGUGGCUGGGGGUGAAAGGCCAAUCAAACCGGGAGAUAGCUGGUUCUCCCCGAAAGCUAUUUAGGUAGCGCCUCGUGAAUUCAUCUCCGGGGGUAGAGCACUGUUUCGGCAAGGGGGUCAUCCCGACUUACCAACCCGAUGCAAACUGCGAAUACCGGAGAAUGUUAUCACGGGAGACACACGGCGGGUGCUAACGUCCGUCGUGAAGAGGGAAACAACCCAGACCGCCAGCUAAGGUCCCAAAGUCAUGGUUAAGUGGGAAACGAUGUGGGAAGGCCCAGACAGCCAGGAUGUUGGCUUAGAAGCAGCCAUCAUUUAAAGAAAGCGUAAUAGCUCACUGGUCGAGUCGGCCUGCGCGGAAGAUGUAACGGGGCUAAACCAUGCACCGAAGCUGCGGCAGCGACGCUGAUGCGUUGUUGGGUAGGGGAGCGUUCUGUAAGCCUGCGAAGGUGUGCUGUGAGGCAUGCUGGAGGUAUCAGAAGUGCGAAUGCUGACAUAAGUAACGAUAAAGCGGGUGAAAAGCCCGCUCGCCGGAAGACCAAGGGUUCCUGUCCAACGUUAAUCGGGGCAGGGUGAGUCGACCCCUAAGGCGAGGCCGAAAGGCGUAGUCGAUGGGAAACAGGUUAAUAUUCCUGUACUUGGUGUUACUGCGAAGGGGGGACGGAGAAGGCUAUGUUGGCCGGGCGACGGUUGUCCCGGUUUAAGCGUGUAGGCUGGUUUUCCAGGCAAAUCCGGAAAAUCAAGGCUGAGGCGUGAUGACGAGGCACUACGGUGCUGAAGCAACAAAUGCCCUGCUUCCAGGAAAAGCCUCUAAGCAUCAGGUAACAUCAAAUCGUACCCCAAACCGACACAGGUGGUCAGGUAGAGAAUACCAAGGCGCUUGAGAGAACUCGGGUGAAGGAACUAGGCAAAAUGGUGCCGUAACUUCGGGAGAAGGCACGCUGAUAUGUAGGUGAAGUCCCUCGCGGAUGGAGCUGAAAUCAGUCGAAGAUACCAGCUGGCUGCAACUGUUUAUUAAAAACACAGCACUGUGCAAACACGAAAGUGGACGUAUACGGUGUGACGCCUGCCCGGUGCCGGAAGGUUAAUUGAUGGGGUUAGCGCAAGCGAAGCUCUUGAUCGAAGCCCCGGUAAACGGCGGCCGUAACUAUAACGGUCCUAAGGUAGCGAAAUUCCUUGUCGGGUAAGUUCCGACCUGCACGAAUGGCGUAAUGAUGGCCAGGCUGUCUCCACCCGAGACUCAGUGAAAUUGAACUCGCUGUGAAGAUGCAGUGUACCCGCGGCAAGACGGAAAGACCCCGUGAACCUUUACUAUAGCUUGACACUGAACAUUGAGCCUUGAUGUGUAGGAUAGGUGGGAGGCUUUGAAGUGUGGACGCCAGUCUGCAUGGAGCCGACCUUGAAAUACCACCCUUUAAUGUUUGAUGUUCUAACGUUGACCCGUAAUCCGGGUUGCGGACAGUGUCUGGUGGGUAGUUUGACUGGGGCGGUCUCCUCCUAAAGAGUAACGGAGGAGCACGAAGGUUGGCUAAUCCUGGUCGGACAUCAGGAGGUUAGUGCAAUGGCAUAAGCCAGCUUGACUGCGAGCGUGACGGCGCGAGCAGGUGCGAAAGCAGGUCAUAGUGAUCCGGUGGUUCUGAAUGGAAGGGCCAUCGCUCAACGGAUAAAAGGUACUCCGGGGAUAACAGGCUGAUACCGCCCAAGAGUUCAUAUCGACGGCGGUGUUUGGCACCUCGAUGUCGGCUCAUCACAUCCUGGGGCUGAAGUAGGUCCCAAGGGUAUGGCUGUUCGCCAUUUAAAGUGGUACGCGAGCUGGGUUUAGAACGUCGUGAGACAGUUCGGUCCCUAUCUGCCGUGGGCGCUGGAGAACUGAGGGGGGCUGCUCCUAGUACGAGAGGACCGGAGUGGACGCAUCACUGGUGUUCGGGUUGUCAUGCCAAUGGCACUGCCCGGUAGCUAAAUGCGGAAGAGAUAAGUGCUGAAAGCAUCUAAGCACGAAACUUGCCCCGAGAUGAGUUCUCCCUGACCCUUUAAGGGUCCUGAAGGAACGUUGAAGACGACGACGUUGAUAGGCCGGGUGUGUAAGCGCAGCGAUGCGUUGAGCUAACCGGUACUAAUGAACCGUGAGGCUUAACCUU
Molecule: ribosomal RNA, 2902 nt
Filed under: Escherichia coli 7-233-03_S1_C3
Lineage: Bacteria; Pseudomonadati; Pseudomonadota; Gammaproteobacteria; Enterobacterales; Enterobacteriaceae
Description: bacterial LSU rRNA
Rfam family: Bacterial large subunit ribosomal RNA
Source: RNAcentral